RNAcentral lists this ribosomal RNA (482 nucleotides) under uncultured bacterium. RNAcentral's name for it is "partial 16S ribosomal RNA". It matches the Rfam family "Bacterial small subunit ribosomal RNA", at positions 30 to 507 of the family's 1533-position model. The record is from RNAcentral.
AUUGAACGCUGGCGGCAUGCCUUACACAUGCAAGUCGAACGGUAACGGGCCUUCGGGUGCCGACGAGUGGCGAACGGGUGAGUAAUACAUCGGAACGUGCCCGAUCGUGGGGGAUAACGAGGCGAAAGCUUUGCUAAUACCGCAUACGAUCUACGGAUGAAAGCAGGGGGCCGCAAGGCCUUGCGCGGACGGAGCGGCCGAUGGCAGAUUAGGUAGUUGGUGGGAUAAAAGCUUACCAAGCCGACGAUCUGUAGCUGGUCUGAGAGGAGGAUCAGCCACACUGGGACUGAGACACGGCCCAGACUCCUACGGGAGGCAGCAGUGGGGAAUUUUGGACAAUGGGCGCAAGCCUGAUCCAGCCAUGCCGCGUGCAGGAUGAAGGCCUUCGGGUUGUAAACUGCUUUUGUACGGAACGAAAAGCCUUCUUUUAAUACAGGAGGGUCAUGACGGUACCGUAAGAAUAAGCACCGGCUAACUACGUG